UCCGAGUUGACCCCGGCAGUCUCCUAUGAGUCCCCACCAUUACGUGCUGGCAACAUAGAACGAGGGUUGCGCUCGUUGCGGGACUUAACCCAACAUCUCACGACACGAGCUGACGACAACCAUGCACCACCUGUAUGCGAGUGUCCAAAGAGAACGUCAUCUCUGACGCGUUCUCGCAUAUGUCAAGCCUUGGUAAGGUUCUUCGCGUUGCAUCGAAUUAAUCCGCAUGCUCCGCCGCUUGUGCGGGCCCCCGUCAAUUCCUUUGAGUUUUAGCCUUGCGGCCGUACUCCCCAGGCGGGGAACUUAAUGCGUUAGCUGCGGCACGGAUCUCGUGGAAUGAGACCCACACCUAGUUCCCAACGUUUACGGCAUGGACUAC
Molecule: unclassified non-coding RNA, 379 nt
Filed under: uncultured Intrasporangiaceae bacterium
Lineage: Bacteria; Bacillati; Actinomycetota; Actinomycetes; Micrococcales; Intrasporangiaceae
Description: contains 16S-23S intergenic spacer region
Source: RNAcentral